This 207-nucleotide ribosomal RNA is filed under the name uncultured bacterium. RNAcentral's name for it is "partial 16S ribosomal RNA". It matches the Rfam family "Bacterial small subunit ribosomal RNA", at positions 568 to 774 of the family's 1533-position model. The record is from RNAcentral.
UGCGUAGGCGGUUAACUAAGUUUGGUGUGAAAUCUCCCGGCUUAACUGGGAGGGUGCGCCGAAAACUGGCUAGCUAGAGUGUGGGAGAGGAUAGUGGAAUUCCUGGUGUAGCGGUGAAAUGCGUAGAUAUCAGGAGGAACACCUGCGGUGUAGACGGCUAUCUGGACCAUGACUGACGCUGAGGCACGAAAGCGUGGGUAGCAAACA